UUGUUCUAAAGAUUUGU
This 17-nucleotide ribosomal RNA is filed under the name Lentinula edodes (shiitake mushroom). RNAcentral describes it as "partial 28S ribosomal RNA". The record is from RNAcentral. Lineage: Eukaryota; Fungi; Basidiomycota; Agaricomycetes; Agaricales; Omphalotaceae.